This 253-nucleotide ribosomal RNA is filed under the name uncultured bacterium. RNAcentral's name for it is "partial 16S ribosomal RNA". It matches the Rfam family "Bacterial small subunit ribosomal RNA", at positions 524 to 776 of the family's 1533-position model. The record is from RNAcentral.
UACGAAGGGGACUAGCGUUGUUCGGAAUUACUGGGCGUAAAGCGCAUGUAGGCGGCUGCGCAAGUCGGGCGUGAAAUCCCACGGCUCAACCGUGGAAGUGCACUCGAAACUGCGCAGCUAGAGUCCUGGAGAGGAAGGUGGAAUGCUUGGUGUAGAGGUGAAAUUCGUAGAUAUCAAGCGGAACACCGGUGGCGAAGGCGGCCUUCUGGACAGUGACUGACGCUGAGAUGCGAAAGCGUGGGGAGCAAACAGG